This is a long non-coding RNA of Centrocercus urophasianus (Greater sage-grouse), 1369 nucleotides long. RefSeq lists it as uncharacterized. The record is from RefSeq and is a predicted model, not a curated record. Lineage: Eukaryota; Metazoa; Chordata; Aves; Galliformes; Phasianidae. The transcript has 3 exons.
UCCUAGCAGCUAGCACUGUGAGCUACUUUGGUAGAAGUGUAAAAGUUUGUGUCCAAAAACAAGCACAGGCUGAAAGCAGGCCAAGAGCAAGGCACAGCCAGAUUCAGUUCUGUGUGUCCACCUGCACACUGAGUUGCAGCUGCUGCAGUUGUGUGUACCCUUUAUCUGUUGCUGGAUGCUGAGAGCAAACCCAGACCUCAUAAAAAGAAAACUGUCACUACCAUUACGAUACUGUGCAUGCAGAUGAAGCUUGAUUCAAGUAUGGCAGUGAAGUCUUCUGACUGACCUGUCCCCACUAGUUAGGAGUUGCGUUUGCUUGCUUAAAUACAGUAAGCUGUUCUCACUUAUGGUAUGUCCUUUGCCAUAAACAUCCCUCUGACAAAAUGGUUGUUUUGACAUCAUCCUCUAGUGGCUAGGAUGACCAAGCCUUGGAGAAAUACAGCACCUCCCCCAGAGCUGUGAUGGCCGUGCUACUGCUUGCUGAUCCUCCCUCUGAUCUGUGCUUUUCCUUUACAGGACACAGUUCUUAAUUGUGGCCCAAGUCCCUGUGGAACGUUUGCUCACCUGCACUGCAUUUUGCUUUGCAUAGUUUAGAGGAAAUUAACCAGCAAGACUUCAGGGCUGAGCUUUAAGAAUGGAAACAUACUCAGCUGCUUGAAAGAGACCAAGUUUCUAAGGUCUGUGUCAGCCUGGGAAAUCCACCCUCUGUGGCCAAAUGCAAAUUGCAGCACAAUCCCAGGAGCCCCCAGGAAUGGAAAUCAUAGCCCUGGCAGGUCAGGAUGCAAAGCCAGCUUUCAGAAAACUGUUUUUCAGCAGCAGAGAGUUCAUGCUGAAUUCUGUGCUUGGUUGAUCUGAACAGAUCUUUAUACUAUGAUGAGCAAACCACACUGUCUACCAAAUGAUGUCCAAAUCUUCUUUCUCACCCUUUGCUUCCCUUUCCUGCAUGUGAAGAAGCAGCCCGCUGAUCAUCGGGGGCUCAGUUUGCCAUCAGGGAGUGUCAGCAGUUACCUGAAAGCUUCGUUGGCUGUCAGAGGGCUCCAUUGAUCAUCAGAGAUCUUCACUGAGGUCAGAGGGCUUCGCUAAUCAACAGAGGGUGUCAUCAGUCAUCAGAGAGGAGAUUUGAGGCCCCCUCAAGAUACCAAAGGCCCCAGUCUCUUCUCCAGGCUGCCAAAUUCGAUGCACAUCAAGAAAUGCUUCAUAAAGACAAGACAGUGGAACUAUAAAGACUAGAAUGUCUUUAACCUCAACAAAAUAAUUUCAAACGUCAGAUGGACUCUGAUAUAGAAGCUUGUUAUGUGAGAGCAAAUCUGACUGCGGGGAAAAGCAAAACCCUAUUGUGCUGGUGACUUUGGAGCAGAAAACUACCGGG